This 308-nucleotide non-coding RNA is filed under the name Ipomoea nil (Japanese morning glory). RNAcentral describes it as "Eukaryotic large subunit ribosomal RNA". It matches the Rfam family "Eukaryotic large subunit ribosomal RNA", at positions 1907 to 2199 of the family's 3401-position model. Lineage: Eukaryota; Viridiplantae; Streptophyta; Magnoliopsida; Solanales; Convolvulaceae. The record is from Rfam by way of RNAcentral.
AGGGAAGUCGGCAAAAUGGAUCCGUAACUUCGGGAAAAGGAUUGGCUCUGAGGGCUGGGCACGGGGGUCCCAGUCCCGAACCCGUCGGCUGUUCGGCGGACUGCUCGAGCUGCUACCGCGGCGAGAGCGGGUCGCCGCGUGCCGGCCGGGGGACGGACUGGGAACGGCUCUUUCGGGGCCUUCCCCGGGCGUCGAACAGCCAACUCAGAACUGGUACGGACAAGGGGAAUCCGACUGUUUAAUUAAAACAAAGCAUUGCGAUGCCCUGCAGUGAGCAUCGGCUGCAUAAAUCACAUUGCCUAAGUUCU